RNAcentral lists this non-coding RNA (101 nucleotides) under Paenibacillus sp. GP183. The record is from RNAcentral. Lineage: Bacteria; Bacillati; Bacillota; Bacilli; Caryophanales; Paenibacillaceae.
GAGAGCCGGAUGCAUCGAAAGGUGCAAGUCCGGUUCGGAGAAGGGCGUUACCGUCAAACUAUUGAUCGUUUGGUCAAUGGGUCGGGUGACGCCUAUUCAAC